This 425-nucleotide long non-coding RNA is filed under the name Sus scrofa (pig). RNAcentral describes it as "lncRNA (ENSSSCG00015035695.1, ENSSSCG00065055286.1)". Lineage: Eukaryota; Metazoa; Chordata; Mammalia; Artiodactyla; Suidae. The record is from RNAcentral.
GUUAUUCACACACAUUGGGCUCUACCCGGUCUGCAGGGAAAGUGAGUUCCGAGUGCUUUCCUGCUAGAUCCCACCUAUGGGAGCUCUGCUUGCUCAGCAGGGUCAGACCCAUCAGCUCCUUUAAUAAACAGGGGCUGUGGAACCCUGCCAGCUGCAGAGGAAACCAGAGGGGAGUAGAAGCAACUCAAAUGUCCUUUCAGUUUUCUGAGAAGUAAGCAAAUCCAUGGCACUACAAGCAAAUCCAUAUAGACCAAAAGUUGACCUCACAGCUUCCGAGAACAAUUCCUGACCCAGCCAAGAUGAACAUUGGGAAUUUACUUCUUAAGAUGCAGUUCAAGUGUCCAAAUCAGGAACAUCUUUGUCUUGGACCCAUGCAACCCUAGUCUUGCUACCUUCCACUGGCAGGGAUAUUUUUCAGAGACGGC